RNAcentral lists this ribosomal RNA (472 nucleotides) under Rhipicephalus turanicus. RNAcentral describes it as "partial large subunit ribosomal RNA". The record is from RNAcentral. Lineage: Eukaryota; Metazoa; Arthropoda; Arachnida; Ixodida; Ixodidae.
GGAUACUUCUGCUCAAAUGUUUUUUAAAUUGCUGUGGUAUUUUGACUAUACAAAGGUAUUGAAAUAAGAUUUUAAUUGAAUGCUAAGAGAAUGGACUCUCAGAGAAAAACUUUUUUUAAAUUAAAAAUUGAAAUUUUUUUAAUUUGUGUAGAAACAAUUAUUAAUAUUAAGGACAAGAAGACCCUAUGAAUUUAUUAAAUUUCAUUCAAUAUGUAAUUACUAUUGAAGAAAUUUUGGCUGGGGCGGCUAAAAAAUAUUUUAAACUUUUUAAAAAUAAAACGACCCAUUAUUAAUGAUUAUAUGUUAAAUACUCUAGGGAUAACAGCGUUAUAUUUUUUGAUAGACCAUAUUGACAAAAAAGUUUGCGACCUCGAUGUUGGAUUAGGAUACUUUUUUAAUGCAGAUAUUAAAAAAAGAAGUUUGUUCAACUUUCAAUUUCCUACUUGAUCUGAGUUCAGACCGGAAUAAUUAU